UGGGGAAUAUUGGACAAUGGAGGGAACUCUGAUCCAGCAAUUCUGUGUGUGUGAAGAAGGUUUUAGGACUGUAAAACACUUUUAGUAGGGAAGAAAAAAAUGACGGUACCUACAGAAGAAGCAACGGCUAAAUACGUGCCAGCAGCCGCGGUAAUACGUAUGUUGCGAGCGUUAUCCGGAAUUAUUAGGCUUAAAGGGCAUCUAGGCGGUAAGACAAGUUGAAGGUGAAAACCUGUGGCUCAACCAUAGGCUUGCCUACAAAACUGUUGAACUAGAGUACUGGAAAGGUGGGUGGAACUACACGAGUAGAGGUGAAAUUCGUAGAUAUGUGUAGGAAUGCCGAUGAUGAAGAUAACUCACUGGACAGAAACUGACGCUGAAGUGCGAAAGCUAGGGGAGCAAACAGG
Molecule: ribosomal RNA, 407 nt
Filed under: Verrucomicrobiota bacterium
Lineage: Bacteria; Pseudomonadati; Verrucomicrobiota
Description: Verrucomicrobia bacterium partial 16S ribosomal RNA
Rfam family: Bacterial small subunit ribosomal RNA
Source: RNAcentral